RNAcentral lists this ribosomal RNA (765 nucleotides) under uncultured bacterium. Its description in RNAcentral is "bacterial SSU rRNA". It matches the Rfam family "Bacterial small subunit ribosomal RNA", at positions 1 to 787 of the family's 1533-position model. The record is from RNAcentral.
UAGAGUUUGAUCCUGGCUCAGGACGAACGCUGGCGGCACGCUUAACACAUGCAAGUCGAACGCUCUCGACCUUCGGGUCAUAUGGGAGAGUGGCGAACGGGUGAGUAACACGUGAGAAACCUGCCCUAAAGAUUGGGACAACCACGGGAAACUGUGGCUAAUACCGAAUACCUUCUUUUGACCGCAUGGUCAGCUGAAGAAAUGCUCCGGCGCUUUAGGAGGGUCUCGCGGCCUAUCAGCUAGUUGGUGAGGUAAUGGCUCACCAAGGCAUCGACGGGUAGCUGGUCUGAGAGGACGAUCAGCCACACUGGGACUGAGACACGGCCCAGACUCCUACGGGAGGCAGCAGUGGGGAAUCUUGCGCAAUGGGCGAAAGCCUGACGCAGCGAUGCCGCGUGGGGGAUGAAGGCUCUCGGGUCGUAAACCCCUUUCAGCAGGGACGAAAAUGACGGUACCUGCAGAAGAAGCCCCGGCCAACUACGUGCCAGCAGCCGCGGUAACACGUAGGGGGCAAGCGUUGUCCGGAUUUAUUGGGCGUAAAGAGCUCGUAGGCUGUUCAGUAAGUCAGGUGUGAAAAUCCAAGGCUCAACCUUGGGACGCCACCUGAUACUGCUGUGACUAGAGUCCGGUAGAGGAGAUUGGAAUUCCUGGUGUAGCGGUGAAAUGCGCAGAUAUCAGGAGGAACACCAACGGCGAAGGCAGAUCUCUGGGCCGGUACUGACGCUGAGGAGCGAAAGCAUGGGGAGCGAACAGGAUUAGAUACCC